GGGGGGCGUCCGGCGGCCGCGCCCUCGCAGCUUCCGCUGGGCCCCUCCGGAAAUCCCGUAUCGUGGGGCGACGGCGGCGUAGAAAGUGCUUCCUGGAGCGCAGAAGAGGUCAUGAAUCAUGUGACGGUGGCUUGAGGAGGAACCUGUCUUUAAAGCUGUCCCUGAAGUGACAGCGGAGAGAACCAGGCAGCCCAGAAACCCCAGGCGUGGAGAUUGAUCCUGCGAGAGAAGGGGGUUCAUCAUGGCGGAUGACCUAAAGCGAUUCUUGUAUAAAAAGUUACCAAGUGUUGAAGGGCUCCAUGCCAUUGUUGUGUCAGAUAGAGAUGGAGUACCUGUUAUUAAAGUGGCAAAUGACAAUGCUCCAGAGCAUGCUUUGCGACCUGGUUUCUUAUCCACUUUUGCCCUUGCAACAGACCAAGGAAGCAAACUUGGACUUUCCAAAAAUAAAAGUAUCAUCUGUUACUAUAACACCUACCAGGUGGUUCAAUUUAAUCGUUUACCUUUGGUGGUGAGUUUCAUAGCUAGCAGCAGUGCCAAUACAGGACUAAUUGUCAGCCUAGAAAAGGAACUUGCUCCAUUGUUUGAAGAAUUGAGACAAGUUGUGGAAGUUUCUUAAUCUGACAGUGGUUUCAGUGUGUACCUUAUCUUCAUUAUAACAACACAAUAUCAAUCCAGCAAUCUUUAGACUACAAUAAUACUUUUAUCCAUGUGCUCAAGAAAGGGCCCCUUUUUCCAACUUAUACUAAAGAGCUAGCAUAUAGAUGUAAUUUAUAGAUAGAUCAGUUGCUAUAUUUUCUGGUGUAGGGUCUUUCUUAUUUAGUGAGAUCUAGGGAUGCCACAGAAAUGGUUCAGUCUAUCACAGCUCCCAUGGAGUUAGUCUGGUCACCAGAUAUGGAUGAGAGAUUCUAUUCAGUGGAUCAGAAUCAAACUGGUACAUCGAUCCACUUGAGCCGUUAAGUGCUCCCAGUUGUACAAUAUGCCCAGGCUUGCAGAAUAAAGCCAACUUUUUAUUGUGAAUAAUAAUAAGGACAUAUUUUUCUUCAGAUUAUGUUUUAUUUCUUUGCAUUGAGUGAGGAACAUAAAAUGGCUUGGUAAAAGUAAUAAAAUCAGUACAAUCACUAACUUUCCUUUGUACAUAUUAUUUUGCAGUAUAGAUGAAUAUUACUAAUCAGUUUGAUUAUUCUCAGAGGGUGCUGCUCUUUAAUGAAAAUGAAAAUUAUAGCUAAUGUUUUUUCCUCAAACUCUGCUUUCUGUAACCAAUCAGUGUUUUAAUGUUUGUGUGUUCUUUAUAAAAUUUAAAUACAAUUCGUUAUUCUGUUUCCAAUGUUAGUAUGUAUGUAAACAUGAUAGUACAGCCAUUUUUUUCAUAUGUGAGUAAAAAUAAAAUGGUAUUUUUAAAAAUAUAGUUUGAGCACUGUAUAGGUCCUUUUUUUGUUCAGACUUUUUCCAAAAAUCUAAACAUGAUUAAUAUACUCUUUCAGCCACAUGAAUAAAUAAUGAGUGUUUGUUGUAGGUAUUGGUUUGGAGAUUGUUUUAUGGUAGUAUGAACUGUUAACUGGAAAAGAAACCUGAGAUUGCAGUCAGCCAAGAUUGUGCCACUGCACCCCAGCCUGGGCAACAGAGACUCCGUCUCAAAAACAGAAAAGAAACCAAGAAACCUCAGGCAUGAACCUAAUUUAAUCUCCAGAGGUACUACAGUUCUAGAAUAUACCCUUUAUGUUCAGGAAUGCAGUCUAUCAUUCAGAGUUAAUUUCUUUCUAGGCUCUUUGACAAUCAAUUUUUCCCUGGAUCAGUUCAGUACAUAUGCAUUGAGCACCUGUGUGCCAGUCAGCAGAGCUAUCACAUUGCACAAUUCUAAGAAGCACCAUUCAUGUCUCAUCAUAUUUCUAUGCUCUGGGAGUUGCCUUUCACAUAGAAUAUGUGUGAUUGUUAUCCCUAGAAUUGUGCAGUGAGGCAAUUGGCUAGGUGCUGUGCUGCUUUUUCUUUCUUUUUUUUUUUUUUUAAGAGACAGAGUCUUGCUGUGUUGCCCAGUCUGGAGUGCAGUGGUGGCAUGAUCUUGCCUCAUUGUAACCUCUGCCUCCUGGGUUCAAGCUGUUCUCAUGCCCCAUUCUCCCUUGUAGCUGGGAUUACAGGCUUACACCAUCGCACUUGGCAAAUUUGUGUAUUUUUAGUAGAGACAGGAAUUCACCAUGUUGGCCAGGCUGGUCUUGAACUCCUGACUUAAAGUGAUCUACCUGCUUUGGCCUCCCAAAAUGCUAGGAUUAUAGGUGUGAGCCACUGCACCGGGCCAUGUGCUACUUUUUCUUCCUUCCAUCCUUCCUCCCUCCUUCCAGUGUAAAUAUGAGAUUAAUUUGUGAUACCUUCCUUUAAAGAACUUAGAGUUCAGUAAAGGAAGCAGGUAUAGAAAGUGCUAUGAUAAAGCUAUACAUAGGAUGGUAUAGAACCACAGACUAGGGGCACUUAAAAUGAGCAAGAAAAUAGCCUUUACAAAUAAAAUAGAGGCAAGAGAUAUAAUGCUUUACCUGCAAAGAGCUAUAAAUACAGCCAUGUACCAUAUAAUGAUGUUUCAGUUAGUGAAGGACCACAUACGAGGGUGGUCAGAACAGCAGGCUAUACCAUAUAGCCUAGGUGUGUAGUAGUAGGCUAUACCAUAUAGUCUAGGUGUGUAGUAGUAGGCUAUACCGUAUAGCCUAGGUGUGUAGUAGUAGGCUAUAUCGUAUAGCCUAGGUGUGUAGUAGUAGGCUAUACCAUCUGGGGUUCCUGUCAGUACAGUAUGAUGUUCACAUAAUGAUGAAAUCACCUAACAAAGCAUGUCUCGAAUCCACAUUGUUACAUAACACAUGACUGUAGUUAACUGUUACAAUUGAAAUACUAGAUGUACUCAUUGAAAUCCAGAAUUCCCAUUAUCUGGAUUAUUUAAUAUCGUUCAGGAAAUUUUUGCCAGUGCAAUGGUGCAUGAAACAAUGUCUUUUAGAAAUGAGGUGGCCAGAUUUCUAUUUGCAGGUAAUAAUUGUAUAUCUAAAAAUCCUAGAAAAAGAAAUGAUAACAAAUGGAGCUACUUAACCUUUGCAUGUUGAAUGCUGCCACUGUUAAAAUUUCUGAGGGGGUAUAAUAGAUAAACUAUCCCAUAGUUCAUCUGGAAAAAUAAGGUGGUGAAAAUUGCUAAGAAAUUUUUGAAAGAUAAUAUAAACCUAGAUUAACUGUUUUUGAAAGGUAGUACAGAACUGAAUGCACAACUAGAUAUCAAUGGUAUGUACUCACCCAGAAAAAAGACUUCAGUACAUACAUGUGAGGGCUUAAAACAUUGUUAUAAAGAUGGGAUCACAAUGGGAAAAGGAUUAUUCAAUAAGUAGGGCAGGCAUUCUCUAUGCCUGCUAGGGAAGUGUAACUUGUUAUACUCUUUAUGUACAGCAAUUGGCAGUCUGUGAAACUUUUAAAUUCAUAUACAUAACCUUUUGCCCUGCAAUUCCACUUCUAGAAAUUUAUCCUACCAAACAAAGCACAUAGAUGUGCAAAAGUAUGUAUUUACAAGUAUAUUCUUUGCAACUUGGUAAUGUCAAAGAAUUGGAAGCAACCUAAAUAUCUGCCAUAGGUAGGAUAACCAUAUGCUCUGGCUUUUUGAACACUACCAGUUUAUACCUGCUGUUCUUGGAUAAUUAUUAAUAGUGCUUUCAUUCUCAAUGUCUCACUUUAGAUAAUAAAUUACAGAGGAUUGGUGAAACAAAUUUAAUUUGCCCAAUGGAAAAAGGAAUGAAGAAGUGCUUUAGGUACUGAGAUGAAAGGAUCUCUAAGGCAUAAUAAUGUUUAUUGAGAAAAGCAUGGUGUCAAACUGUAUGGCAUGCUACAAUUGAUGUAUAAGAAGAAAAAAUGUGUAUGUAUUCCUAUUUGUUUGUAUAUGGUAGACUGUCUCUGAAGACAUACAUGGAAGAACCUGAUCACAUUGGUAGUCUCCAAGGAGCGGAACUAGAUACCUGGGGGAUAAGGAUCCCAGGAGUGAGCCUUUUCAUUGUAAACUUCAUUGUACUUUGAGUUUUUAACUGUUCAAAAAUAAUAAAAUUAGAAAUAAAAUAUUUCAACAAGCAAUAAAA
Gorilla gorilla gorilla (western lowland gorilla) is the source of this 4088-nucleotide RNA transcript. It is a transcript of the gene named late endosomal/lysosomal adaptor, MAPK and MTOR activator 3, with no coding region annotated. The transcript is spliced from 8 exons. Lineage: Eukaryota; Metazoa; Chordata; Mammalia; Primates; Hominidae. The record is from RefSeq and is a predicted model, not a curated record.